This 85-nucleotide transfer RNA is filed under the name Rickettsiaceae bacterium. RNAcentral's name for it is "tRNA-Met". It matches the Rfam family "tRNA". From Rfam's summary of the family: Transfer RNA (tRNA) molecules are approximately 80 nucleotides in length. The record is from RNAcentral. Lineage: Bacteria; Pseudomonadati; Pseudomonadota; Alphaproteobacteria; Rickettsiales; Rickettsiaceae.
GCAUGCAUGGCUGAGUGGUCGAAAGCGCCGGGCUCAUAACCCGCUUCCUAAUAAGACAUCGCAGGUUCAAGUCCUGCUGCAUGCA